RNAcentral lists this ribosomal RNA (253 nucleotides) under uncultured bacterium. Its description in RNAcentral is "partial 16S ribosomal RNA". It matches the Rfam family "Bacterial small subunit ribosomal RNA", at positions 524 to 776 of the family's 1533-position model. The record is from RNAcentral.
UACGGAGGGUGCGAGCGUUGUCCGGAAUCACUGGGCGUAAAGGGCGCGUAGGUGGCGCGGGAAGUCAACGGUGAAAGUUCGGGGCUCAACCCUGAAUCGGCCGUCGAUACUCCCGGGCUCGAGCACUGUAGAGGCGGAUGGAAUUCCGGGUGUAGCGGUGGAAUGCGUAGAGAUCCGGAAGAACACCGGUGGCGAAGGCGGUCUGCUGGGCAGUUGCUGACACUGAGGCGCGACAGCGUGGGGAGCAAACAGG